RNAcentral lists this long non-coding RNA (304 nucleotides) under Homo sapiens (human). RNAcentral describes it as "HSALNT0068451". Lineage: Eukaryota; Metazoa; Chordata; Mammalia; Primates; Hominidae. The record is from RNAcentral.
AUUCGCAAAAACCUCUUAGGGGGAUAUGUGGGGAGCACAGAGAUCCUAUCGCCCCCAUCAGCACCUCCGAUAUGGGCUUCAGACACUCCUACCUGGAAGAUGGGCAACUGGCAGAAACGCCUUGAGCUGGAAGCAGGAGCGUCAGGUUUGAAUCUCUGCUCCUUCCUUUAUCAACUGUCACUCGGCUGAGUGGACCUUUCUGAGCCAGAGUUCCUUUAUGUAUAAAAUGGAGAUCACCACAUCUACUUUUGAAAAACUGAUGGAGACUGGGCACAGUGGCUCACGCCUGUAAUCCUUGAACUUU